CCUACGGGAGGCAGCAGUGGGGAAUAUUGCACAAUGGGGGAAACCCUGAUGCAGCGACGCCGCGUGAGCGAAGAAGUAUUUCGGUAUGUAAAGCUCUAUCAGCAGGGAAGAAAAAUGACGGUACCUGACUAAGAAGCCCCGGCUAACUACGUGCCAGCAGCCGCGGUAAUACGUAGGGGGCAAGCGUUAUCCGGAUUUACUGGGUGUAAAGGGAGCGUAGACGGCAGCGCAAGUCUGGAGUGAAAUGCCGGGGCCCAACACCGGAACUGCUUUGGAAACUGUGCGGCUCGAGUGGGGGAGAGGAG
This 305-nucleotide ribosomal RNA is filed under the name uncultured bacterium. Its description in RNAcentral is "bacterial SSU rRNA". It matches the Rfam family "Bacterial small subunit ribosomal RNA", at positions 338 to 659 of the family's 1533-position model. The record is from RNAcentral.